AGCGGCCGGAUUCGCCCUUUUCCGGUUGAUCCUGCCAGAGGCUAUUGCUAUCAGGGUUUGACUAAGCCAUGCGAGUCGAGAGGUGUUAAGACCUCGGCGUACUGCUCAGUAACACGUGGAUAAUCUGCCCUCAGGAGAGGAAUAAUCCCGGGAAACUGGGGCUAAUGCCUCAUAGGAGACGGGUGCUGGAAUGCUCUGUCUCCCAAAGGUCCGCCGCUGAGGAUGAGUCUGCGGCCGAUUAGGUUGUUGUUGGGGUAACGGCCCAACAAGCCCGUGAUCGGUACGGGUUGUGGGAGCAAGAGCCCGGAGAUGGAUUCUGAGACAUGAAUCCAGGCCCUACGGGGCGCAGCAGGCGCGAAAACUUUACAAUGCGAGCAAUCGUGAUAAGGAAACCCUGAGUGCCUGUCAAUGCAGGCUGUUCUGGUGUUUAGCACGCACCAGGAGAAAGGGCGGGGCAAGACCGGUGCCAGCCGCCGCGGUAAUACCGGCUGCUCGAGUGAUAGCCGCUUUUACUGGGCUUAAAGCGUUCGUAGCUUGGUCGUUAAGUCUCUGGGGAAAUCUUCUGGCUUAACCAGAAGGCGUCUCAGUGAAACUAGCGACCUAGGAACCGGGAGAGGUGAGACGUACUUCGGGGGUAGGAGUGAAAUCUUGUAAUCCUCGAGGGACGACCGAUGGCGAAGGCAUCUCACCAGAACGGCUUCGACAGUGAGGGACGAAAGCUGGGGGAGCAAACCGGAUUAGAUACCCGGUAGUCCCAGCCGUAAACGAUGUGCGUUAGGUGUGUCGGUGACCACGAGUCGCCGAGGUGCCGAAGGGAAACCGUGAAACGCACCGCCUGGGAAGUACGGUCGCAAGGCUGAAACUUAAAGGAAUUGGCGGGGGAGCAC
RNAcentral lists this ribosomal RNA (887 nucleotides) under uncultured archaeon. RNAcentral's name for it is "bacterial SSU rRNA". It matches the Rfam family "Archaeal small subunit ribosomal RNA", at positions 1 to 879 of the family's 1478-position model. The record is from RNAcentral.